AUUUUUAUAGUAUAUUUAGUAUAUAUGACUUCCAAUCAUAAGGACUAUAUAAUUAGUAAAAAUA
This 64-nucleotide transfer RNA is filed under the name Xenopsylla cheopis (oriental rat flea). RNAcentral's name for it is "tRNA-Gly". The record is from RNAcentral. Lineage: Eukaryota; Metazoa; Arthropoda; Insecta; Siphonaptera; Pulicidae.